Molecule: non-coding RNA, 2067 nt
Organism: Heterocephalus glaber (naked mole-rat)
Lineage: Eukaryota; Metazoa; Chordata; Mammalia; Rodentia; Bathyergidae
Source: RefSeq, a predicted model, not a curated record
UAAAAUCCUUUCAGCAGCUUCCAAUUCUAAACCUUCUCAUAGUCUCAACCUUCCCUGUGUCAGAAUGGGGAAGCAGGCAUGAAGAGGCAGGCUGAUUUUGUUUGUUUUCGGUUUAUGUCCAAACUUGGACAUCUCAUUUCUGAGAGAAGUGAGAAAGGCACUUGAUAAGCUGUCUGCAGCAGUUUCUCCUGAGGGGUCUGCCAAAAACUGCAUUGGAUUUCAAGGUCUGGUGUGCUUCGCCUCUUCAGGUCUGUUACAUUUCCCAGAAUGGUUCCCAGCGCUGGAGAUAAUUCCUUUUCGGAGAACCUACAUUUCUCACCUGCUGAUUGCAAUUAGCCACUGCCAGCUGGGGCCUGGUGUGCAGCUGAAAAGCUAACAAGAAGGGGAGACCACGCGGAACCCAGACAGGGCAGAGGAGGUGCCUCUUGAGGAACGAAGAGCCCUCCUGUAUACCUUUUGCCACUUAGUGAAGGACCAAGAGCCACAGAGUCUGGAUGGCCUUUUGACAUUAGGUGGAAGAUCUGGAGACACUAGCACUGGCCACAAGGCCAACGGCUGGGAAACAUGGAACCUGUUGUUGCCAUUGAUACUUGCAUGAAGUAUCUGUUGCUGACUGGUAUGGGGUAUGAGCUUCUCACUGGAUAGGGUCUAAAGGAGGUUCCUGAAGCUGAGAUAGGGAACCUAACCCACCCUCCUGUAGAAUAAUUUUACAGGUUUGCUGAUUGCUGUUGGGGAAAAAGAAUUUUCAAGACUGGUCAAUAAGAGGCACGGGAAGGGUUUUAUUAGGCAGAAAUUAAAAGGUACACACUUAAAGAAAUAGAGUGUGGUCCUCCAGAGGGAGAGGUAUCGUAUUUCCUGGAACAGGAAACACGUAUUCUUCUCUUGAGGGGGUGGAAACCCUGGGAAAAGGUGGCUCACCCCUAGAAGGAUAGUAGCCUAGUCUACUCAAAUGGGCCCAGUUUUUUAUUUUUUUUAAGGUAGAUAAUUUAAGUACUGUUUGGAUUCCUUCAACCUGUUCCUUUAUCUUAGGAUCAGGCUCCUGCCCCUUAUUUUCUCAAUUAAGCCAAUGUAUGGACUUUCAGUAUUUCUGAGGAAUCUUGAGUGUGAUGUGUCUGUAAAGAAAGGAGCCUAAAUUUAACCAAGGGAAUGCUGAUGCAGAUCACUUUGGUUGACUUUGACUGAGUCCAGAUCGUCUAACUCAGGACCCACUUUUGCCCACUGCUAUUGCUUGUUAUGGGUCAAGGAAUGAAUAGACUUCCUGAGCUCUCUUUGUGUCACUGCUGCGAGUAGAUUGGCCUACUACUGCCACUGGGCAUGGGUCUCCCUGCUGAGUUUCUGCUGGCUUUGCCUCUUCCUGGUAAACAAUAAAAAAUUGAAAAACGGAAAACCCAGGGAACUGCUUACCACAGUGUUGUUCUUCAAAUCCUGAGGUCCCAAGCCAGUUCAUUUUCUUCCAUCUGAGACUCAGAGGAUUUUUUUUUUUAAUUGUUUUCUGUUGAACUAUUUCCCGGGUUUUUAACUAGCGGCCACUUUUUAAAAAAUAAAAAAAACCAAAAUUAUUGCUCAGAACAGGCAUCAUUUCUGGGAGAUGGAUGUACAUAAAUUCAUUUUAUACAAUUUGUUAUACAUUCCUGUGGGUUUGAAAUACCAAAAAAAGGGCUGACUAUAAGGUUAUACCAGAAAUAAACCAAUUCUCAUUGCCAUUUCAGUCUCCCCUACUUUGAUUUACUCUAUUAUAUUUGUUUUGAUCAACAAAGUAAGUGUUUGGUCAAGACUCAUUAGGCAGAAAUGAUUUCAAUCAAUGCUAGUUUGGGGUGAUCAUCUGACAGAAUAGAUUAAAAAGGAAGCAAAGAAAUUUAAUGUAAAUUUAGUCAUUAUGCCUGGGGACAUAAGACUCACAGUUGCAAGAGUUAGAUGUUGAUAUAAGCUCAUUUUUUAAGGAUCACUUUUAAAAGCAGUGCAAUAAAGGUCUACUUUUGCAGAUAAUGAAUAUAACCCUAAAGGAUGAAUUUUCUAAAAAAUUGCCUUAAUGUGAGAAUGGGAACUUGAAGCUUCAAAUAUUUCCAG